CAGUCGCCGCGGUAAUACGAAGGGGGCGAGCGUUAUUCGGAAUCACUGGGCGUAAAGCGUGCGUAGGCGGUUCUAAAAGUUAGAAGUGAAAGCCCAGGGCUUAACCCUGGAAUUGCUUUUAAAACUAUAGGACUAGAAUUCGGGAGAGGAUAGCGGAAUUGUCAGUGUAGCAGUGAAAUGCGUAGAUAUUGACAGGAACACCAGUGGCGUAAGCGGCUAUCUGGACCGACAUUGACGCUGAGGCGCGAAAGCGUGGGGAUCAAACAGGAUUAGAUACCCGAGUAGUCCCUGUCUCUUAUAC
RNAcentral lists this ribosomal RNA (301 nucleotides) under uncultured bacterium. Its description in RNAcentral is "partial 16S ribosomal RNA". It matches the Rfam family "Bacterial small subunit ribosomal RNA", at positions 509 to 807 of the family's 1533-position model. The record is from RNAcentral.